Molecule: ribosomal RNA, 301 nt
Filed under: uncultured bacterium
Lineage: Bacteria
Description: partial 16S ribosomal RNA
Rfam family: Bacterial small subunit ribosomal RNA
Source: RNAcentral
CAGCAGCCGCGGUAAUACAGAGGGUGCGAGCGUUAAUCGGAUUUACUGGGCGUAAAGCGUGCGUAGGCGGCUUCUUAAGUCGGAUGUGAAAUCCCUGAGCUUAACUUAGGAAUUGCAUUCGAUACUGGGAAGCUAGAGUAUGGGAGAGGAUGGUAGAAUUCCAGGUGUAGCGGUGAAAUGCGUAGAGAUCUGGAGGAAUACCGAUGGCGAAGGCAGCCAUCUGGCCUAAUACUGACGCUGAGGUACGAAAGCAUGGGGAGCAAACAGGAUUAGAUACCCGGGUAGUCCCUGUCUCUUACAC